AGGGAGAGGAAAGAGAAAAAGGAAGGUGGAGGGAGCGAAAGAAAGAGAGAGGGAGAGGAAAGAGAAAAAGGAAUGUGGAGGGAGCGAAAGAAAGAGAGAGGGAGAGGAAAGAGAAAAAGGAAGGUGGAGGGAGCGAAAGAAAGAGAGGGAGAGGAAAGAGAAAAAGGUAGGAGUGAGAAACAGAGUGAAGUUUAUCAAAAGCAUGUCCAUUUCUCAUUUAGCACAUUUUCUACGCUUAUCUCCAGGCCCACUCUCCCAUCCCACUACUGCUGCAGCUCUCCCGCCUCGCGCACUGCCAUGCAGAGGUGGGCAAAAUCAAUUUUUGCAGAUACAUUCUUGCAAUUACAUCACUUACUCUGUUUAAGAUAAGAUGCAUGAAUUGGACUACUCUUGAAGCACCAGAUUGAAUUAUUCAUUUGGUUUACUCAACUCUGUCUCUCUCUUC
Long non-coding RNA from Oncorhynchus tshawytscha (Chinook salmon), 445 nucleotides. The record is from Ensembl. NCBI's taxonomy places the organism in Eukaryota, Metazoa, Chordata, Actinopteri, Salmoniformes, Salmonidae.